Molecule: ribosomal RNA, 503 nt
Filed under: uncultured Actinomycetes bacterium
Lineage: Bacteria; Bacillati; Actinomycetota; Actinomycetes
Description: bacterial SSU rRNA
Rfam family: Bacterial small subunit ribosomal RNA
Source: RNAcentral
UGGGGAAUCUUGCGCAAUGGGCGAAAGCCUGACGCAGCGACGCCGCGUGGGGGAUGAAGACCUUAGGGUCGUAAACCCCUUUCAGCAGGGACGAAGAUGACGGUACCUGCAGAAGAAGCCCCGGCCAACUACGUGCCAGCAGCCGCGGUAAGACGUAGGGGGCGAGCGUUGUCCGGAAUUAUUGGGCGUAAAGGGCUCGUAGGCGGUUCGGUAAGUCGGAUGUGAAAACUUAGGGCUCAACCCUGAGACGCCAUCCGAUACUGCUGUGACUUGAGUUCGGUAGAGGAGUGUGGAAUUCCUGGUGUAGCGGUGAAAUGCGCAGAUAUCAGGAGGAACACCUACGGCGAAGGCAGGCACUCUGGGCCGAAACUGACGCUGAGGAGCGAAAGCGUGGGUAGCAAACAGGAUUAGAUACCCUGGCAGUCCAUGCCGUAAACGUUGGGAACUAGGUGUGGGUCUCAUUCCACGAGAUCCGUGCCGCAGCUAACGCAUUAAGUUCCCCG